UUAAAUGCCUCAAUACGCAGAAAAUAACAAUUCAGCAUAGUAUCAGAUCGAGCUAUCUAUAGAUCCAACAUCAUCCCCGUUGAUUUCAUUUUUAUUUUCAUUUUUUGUCACAUCCUCUGCUAACUUUUCCGUUAAAACAAUCACACACUACGCACGUGCAUCAUGGAUCAUCACUCUUCGCCAUUUGGGACUCAUUAAGAAUGAUCAGAAUUAAAUCCUAACACUACAAAAAAUUUUAGAAAAAAAAAAGAUUUUUAUUAUAAAGACGAUUUUUAGAUGAUACUUGAAGAAAAUGUCCUCAAGUGUUCUUAUAAUAUAACUUUACUAUUAAUUUUAAUUUUUCGAUACUUUAAAACAUCGGGACUAUAAAUCUUAAACCCUAAACCCUAAAAAAUUCUAACGCUUUAAAACAUCAGAAUAUAUGUUCGACGCUUGGCAUAAGUCUUAGUAUAUACGCAGCGACUCUUUAUUUGCUGACAAUUUCAAAUAUGACGGUAAACCAUUUUGAAAAGAGUUACUUUUUUUAACAAUAAGUUAAGAUUACUUCCAAAUAAUAAC
This 558-nucleotide long non-coding RNA is filed under the name Ananas comosus (pineapple). Its description in RNAcentral is "long non-coding RNA (ACOM_LNC001276)". The record is from RNAcentral. Lineage: Eukaryota; Viridiplantae; Streptophyta; Magnoliopsida; Poales; Bromeliaceae.